Molecule: ribosomal RNA, 1023 nt
Filed under: Triticum aestivum (bread wheat)
Lineage: Eukaryota; Viridiplantae; Streptophyta; Magnoliopsida; Poales; Poaceae
Description: partial small subunit ribosomal RNA
Source: RNAcentral
AUGAUAGGACGCGGGAACGCAGCAACGCCGCCGGGAUCGCACCACGGCCGCAGCAGGCCGCCGCCCCGCAAGUUCAAGUCGGUCCCGGAGGCCAUCUCCACCGGGGACGGUGACGGCGGCACCGUCUUCCGCGUCGGCCCCAUCAUCGGCACCGGCUCCUUCGGGGAGAUCUACCACGGCACGGACGCCGAGACCAAGGAGGAGGUCGCCAUCAAGCUCGAGUCUCUCAGGGCGAGGUUCCCCCAGCUGAUCUACGAGGCCAAGGUCUACAGGAAACUCCAAGGACAAGCCAGGAUUCCAAAUGUGAGGUGGUUCGGCGUCGAGGGGGACUACAGCGCCCUGGUGAUGGACCUGUUAGGGGCCAACCUCCAGGAGCUCUUCGAGUCCUGCGACGCCAAGUUCUCCCUCAAGACCGUCCUCAUGCUCGCUGACCAAAUGAUUGACCGGGUCGAGUGCCUCCACGCCAACUCUUUCGUGCACAAGGACAUCAAGCCGCAGAACUUCCUCAUGGGCCGUGGCAAGAACGCCAAUCUGGUUCAUCUUAUAGAUUUCGGAAUAGCGAGGAAGUACAUGGAGACAUCCAAACACGGCAGGCAGCACAUCCCAUACAGGGAUAACAUGAUGGGCCUGCAAGGAACGCCGAGAUACGCAAGCAUAAACAACCAUCUCGGAAUCGAGCAAAGCCGGAGGGAUGACCUAGAAUCCAUCGGCUACAUGCUGCUCUACUUCCUCCGAGGAAGCCUCCCGUGGCAGGACGCGGACGCCGGGAACCACAGGGAGACACAUGACAUGAUCAAGGACAUGAAGAUGGCCACAUCGCCCGAGGAGCUCUGCCGCGGGCAUCCCGCCGAGUUCGCAUCCUACCUCAUCUACUGCCGCUCGCUGGGGUUCGAGGACGAGCCCAACUAUGCGCAUCUCAGGAAGCUGUUCAAAGACCUCUUUGUUCAACAGGGCUUCGAGUAUGACUACGUUUAUGACUGGAUGGUUCCCCGGCAUUAUUACAAAGAUGACUACCGGUACUGA